ACGGCACAGACACUUGGCCCUUUCUUGGCUC
RNAcentral lists this non-coding RNA (31 nucleotides) under Mus musculus (house mouse). Lineage: Eukaryota; Metazoa; Chordata; Mammalia; Rodentia; Muridae. The record is from RNAcentral.